This 470-nucleotide ribosomal RNA is filed under the name uncultured bacterium. Its description in RNAcentral is "partial 16S ribosomal RNA". It matches the Rfam family "Bacterial small subunit ribosomal RNA", at positions 28 to 507 of the family's 1533-position model. The record is from RNAcentral.
GACGAACGCUGGCGGCGUGCUUAACACAUGCAAGUCGAACGCUGAAGCACCAGCUUGCUGGUGUGGAUGAGUGGCGAACGGGUGAGUAAUACGUGAGUAACCUGCCCUUGACUCUGGGAUAAGCCCGGGAAACUGGGUCUAAUACUGGAUGCUACAUGUCACCGCAUGGUGGUGUGUGGAAAGGGUUUACUGGUCUUGGAUGGGCUCACGGCCUAUCAGCUUGUUGGUGAGGUAAUGGCUCACCAAGGCGACGACGGGUAGCCGGCCUGAGAGGGUGACCGGCCACACUGGGACUGAGACACGGCCCAGACUCCUACGGGAGGCAGCGGUGGGGAAUAUUGCACAAUGGGCGAAAGCCUGAUGCAGCGACGCCGCGUGAGGGAUGACGGCCUUCGGGUUGUAAACCUCUUUCAGCAGGGAAGAAGCCACAAGUGACGGUACCUGCAGAAGAAGCGCCGGCUAACUACGUG